CUACGGGAGGCAGCAGUAGGGAAUAUUGCUUAAUGGGCGAAAGCCUGAAGCAGCAACGCCGCGUGUGCGAUGAAGGCCUUCGGGUUGUAAAGCACUUUUGAUCGGGAAGAGGAAGGACGGUACCGGUCGAAUAAGCCUCGGCUAACUACGUGCCAGCAGCCGCGGUAAAACGUAGGAGGCGAGCGUUAUCCGGAUUUACUGGGUGUAAAGCGCGUGCAGGCGGUUGGCUAAGUUGGGUGUGAAAGCUCCUGGCUCAACUAGGAGAGGUCGCUCAAAACUGGCCGACUGGAGAGCAGUAAGGGAAGGUGGAAUUCCGGGUGUAGUGGUGAAAUGCGUAGAUAUCCGGAGGAACACCAGUGGCGAAGGCGGCCUUCUGGACUGCAUCUGACGCUCAGACGCGAAAGCUAGGGGAGCAAACGGGAUUAGAUACCCUGGUAGC
RNAcentral lists this ribosomal RNA (439 nucleotides) under uncultured bacterium. Its description in RNAcentral is "bacterial SSU rRNA". It matches the Rfam family "Bacterial small subunit ribosomal RNA", at positions 339 to 794 of the family's 1533-position model. The record is from RNAcentral.